UUGUCCACGAUUGGAGUCAACCACGUAGCACAAACCUUAGGAAAGAUCCUAAAGCCAACAUUUAUGGCGGUUAUCGGCCUAAAUUGCCUAAUGUGCAUUACCCCCACUACCUUGGGUACCAAUAGGAUCACUCCAAAGUUAAUCCAUGAUGAAUGAAGAAUAUCCACAUAGAACUUCCGAAACAUCCACAAAAACGUGCCCUUUAUCACACCCCAAAACUUCUUAGAAAAGCACAUCAAGAUCCCAUUUGGUGCUGAUGUCGGCGAUGAGUUCAUAGAGUUGACCGUCGCUUCAAUCUCCUCCAAAAACGUGAGAAGCAAAGAACCAUCAGGAAAGGUGUAUUCCCGGUUCCCGCCCUGCCGGUGGUAGCGUCGCUAGAGAUUGCACUCUUUGCCACGACCCAUCGUUGGAUUUGAGGCGCUGUCAUCAUUCAUGAGGGUCACCAUGUAAGAGAUGAGGGGUUUGGGGGAGGAACAUGGAUGAUGAAGCAAGCUAGUUGCCCGCCGCAAUACGCUCGAAGAGGCAGGAAACCCUAGAUCAAGGCGAAGGGAGGGAUCCUGAGCCAUAUAGGCGACUUAAGAGGGGCCAAAGAGUUGGCAAAGGAUGAAAGCCCGAUGCAUAGCAGAUCACCCUAGCCCUCCAAAGGCCGAACCGGCAGCUCCCUAUCCAAGGCUUGUUGGGCUUCCACCUGAGCCCAACAAGUGAGGUGGACGAAGGCCUAGUCCCUCCCAACUUGAUCCCCUUCGAUGCAUGGGCCCACCAAGAACCCUAAUCCUCAUGCUCCAUCCUUGACCUGGAUACCCAAUGACAUCGGUAAAACAAAUGAUUCGCUAGGGAGCAUACUGACAACCUCGAAGCACCAUCUCUUGCAGCAAAGGAGCCACAUCCAAGCUUAUCCGCAGCCCCCCAAUAGGACCAAUACUCCUCUUUACCCCCUGCCCCCAAAUGCCAAGUGUAUGUAAUAUCAUUGCGGUUGAGGUAGUGUUAUACUAGGAAAAAAUAUGAUAAUCCAGAAACCGCUUCUUGAGAGUGUGAUCGUACCAUGAAGAGUCUUCAAAAAGAAACAACUACAAAGAUGGCGCAUCAGAGGAAGACACCACAUCAAUAGAAGAUACAAGAGAAGAUGGGUUGUAAAAAGAAGAUGCAUGUCAAGGAAGCAUUUCGCACAAAAUCAUAGCCAAAGAAAACCGGCGGCAAGAGAAUGGGCGUAGAUCGACUAUGCAAAAAGAGGCCACGAAAAUCCUAUUAUGGAUAACAAAGACCGGAAAAGGCUACCAAAAUUGUAUAGACAGGACUAGGACCAAUAAAGAGUCUGACAUAUAUGGUUUGGUGGAUCUGCAUGGCAUGAGAAAUGCGAAAGAACAACGGAUUUGGUGAACGCAGGGAAAAGGAAAGCUAGAAGCUAGGAAGCAAAUGUGAGACAAUGAUGCAGGAGCCAUCGUGUUUGCAGCGAAGGCUGUGCAGGUGUAAUGCUGACAAGGAGCAGGGAAGAAGAGCAACAAGCAAAGGAGGACCCAACACCAAUAGAAGGUGCAGGUUUGAGAGGUGUGGAAGUUUUGGGGAGGCACAUUCUGUCAUUGCUUGACCAUUUGACUCCAAAGGCGUUGCCCAUGAUACCAGCUGAAGCUGAGGAUAUACUUUUCAGGAAGAGGAGCCUGUCGAAUAGAAGCACACUUGUCCCAAUACAAUAAUCAAUCAAAUGGUGUCAUCUACAAAUGUGAUUCCCAAUUUGAUCACGGUGGCUAGGCAUGACUUGUUUCAUCUUAAGAAUUAUCUACUUGUGUAAUUUGUUGUAACUUUAGUUGUUUGAUUUCAUUGAUUAUUUCAUGCCUUGUGCAGCCAAAGCUAAGAGAGCGAACAAGAUGUCUAUUCCUUGAAAUUACACAUAAUUUAUUUUCCUUCAUCAAGCGAAGGUUUCCGAGGCUGGCAAUUUAUUAGGAAA
RNAcentral lists this long non-coding RNA (1942 nucleotides) under Hordeum vulgare. Its description in RNAcentral is "long non-coding RNA (HVUL_LNC000311)". Lineage: Eukaryota; Viridiplantae; Streptophyta; Magnoliopsida; Poales; Poaceae. The record is from RNAcentral.